RNAcentral lists this ribosomal RNA (164 nucleotides) under uncultured bacterium. RNAcentral describes it as "partial 16S ribosomal RNA". It matches the Rfam family "Bacterial small subunit ribosomal RNA", at positions 355 to 511 of the family's 1533-position model. The record is from RNAcentral.
UAGGGAAUCUUCCACAAUGGGCGCAAGCCUGAUGGAGCAACGCCGCGUGUGUGAUGAAGGGUUUCGGCUCGUAAAACACUGUUGUAAGAGAAGAAUGACAUUGAGAGUAACUGUUCAAUGUGUGACGGUAUCUUACCAGAAAGCCACGGCUAACUACGUGCCAG